GACGAACGCUGGCGGCGUGCUUAACACAUGCAAGUCGAACGGAAAGGCCCUGCUUUUGUGGGGUGCUCGAGUGGCGAACGGGUGAGUAACACGUGAGUAACCUGCCCUUGACUUUGGGAUAACUUCAGGAAACUGGGGCUAAUACCGGAUAGGAGCUCCUGCUGCAUGGUGGGGGUUGGAAAGUUUCGGCGGUUGGGGAUGGACUCGCGGCUUAUCAGCUUGUUGGUGGGGUAGUGGCUUACCAAGGCUUUGACGGGUAGCCGGCCUGGGAGGGUGACCGGCGACAUGGGGACUGAGAUACGGCCCAGACUCGUACGGGAGGCAGCAGGGGGGAAUAUUGCACAAUGGGCGGAAGCCUGAUGCAGCAACGCCGCGUGCGGGAUGACGGCCUUCGGGUUGUAAACCGCUUUCGCCUGUGACGAAGCGUGAGUGACGGUAAUGGGUAAAGAAGCACCGGCUAACUACGUG
This 468-nucleotide ribosomal RNA is filed under the name uncultured bacterium. RNAcentral's name for it is "partial 16S ribosomal RNA". It matches the Rfam family "Bacterial small subunit ribosomal RNA", at positions 28 to 507 of the family's 1533-position model. The record is from RNAcentral.